Molecule: ribosomal RNA, 301 nt
Filed under: uncultured bacterium
Lineage: Bacteria
Description: partial 16S ribosomal RNA
Rfam family: Bacterial small subunit ribosomal RNA
Source: RNAcentral
CAGCAGCCGCGGGAAUACGAAGGGGGCUAGCGUUGCUCGGAUUUACUGGGCGUAAAGGGCGCGUAGGCGGACAGUUAAGUUGGGGGUGAAAGCCCGGGGCUCAACCUCGGAAUUGCCUUCAAUACUGGCUGUCUUGAGUGUGAGAGAGGUGUGUGGAACUCCGAGUGUAGAGGUGAAAUUCGUAGAUAUUCGGAAGAACACCAGUGGCGAAGGCGACACACUGGCUCACUACUGACGCUGAGGCGCGAAAGCGUGGGGAGCAAACAAGAUUAGAUACCCGCGUAGUCCCUGUCUCUUAUAC